CCUACGGGAGGCAGCAGUGGGGAAUAUUGGGCAAUGGGCGCAAGCCUGACCCAGCAACGCCGCGUGAAGGAAGAAGGCUUUCGGGUUGUAAACUUCUUUUGACAGGGAAGAGUAGAAGACGGUACCUCUCGAAUAAGCCACGGCUAACUACGUGCCAGCAGCAGCGGUAAUACGUAGGUGGCAAGCGUUGUCCGGAUUUACUGGGUGUAAAGGGCGUGGAGCCGGGCUGACAAGUCAGAUGUGAAAUCCGGCGGCUUAACCCCAGAACUGCAUUUGAAACUGUUGAUCUUGAGUGCUGGAGAGGCAGACGGAAUUCCUGGUGUAGCGGUGAAAUGCGUAGAUAUUAGGAAGAACACCAGUGGCGAAGGCGGUCUACUGGACAGCAACUGACGGUGAGGCGCGAAAGCGUGGGGAGCAAACAGGAUUAGAUACCCUAGUAGUC
This 442-nucleotide ribosomal RNA is filed under the name uncultured bacterium. RNAcentral's name for it is "partial 16S ribosomal RNA". It matches the Rfam family "Bacterial small subunit ribosomal RNA", at positions 338 to 795 of the family's 1533-position model. The record is from RNAcentral.